AAGUAGUCUUAUAAUCAAAUGUAUUUAUUUUGGCGGCAUUUCAUCUACUUAAAGGAACCUGUCAAUUAAUCGAUAAUCCACGAUAAAUUUCACUUCAAUUAUUAAUUUAUAUACCGCCAUCUUAAGAAUUAAUCAUAAAAUAUUAUUCUUAAUUAAAAUUAAAAAGUUAGGUCAAGGUGUAAUUUAUAUUUUAGAAUAUGAUGUGUUACAAUAAUAUAAAUUUAAGAAUUAAAAAUAAAAAAUACUUAUGAAAAAGAAUUUAAAAGUAAUUAAAUAAUAUAAUUUUAAAUAAAUAAGAAAACAAAUGUGU
RNAcentral lists this ribosomal RNA (310 nucleotides) under Mamoea sp. CG177. RNAcentral's name for it is "partial 12S ribosomal RNA". Lineage: Eukaryota; Metazoa; Arthropoda; Arachnida; Araneae; Amphinectidae. The record is from RNAcentral.